GGAGAGGUGACCGAGAGGCUGAAGGUGAGCGCCUGCUAAGCGUUUGUGCGCCAAAAGCGUACCGAGGGUUCGAAUCCCUCCCUCUCCG
Candidatus Entotheonella sp. is the source of this 88-nucleotide transfer RNA. It matches the Rfam family "tRNA". Rfam says of the family: Transfer RNA (tRNA) molecules are approximately 80 nucleotides in length. NCBI's taxonomy places the organism in Bacteria, Pseudomonadati, Candidatus Tectimicrobiota, Candidatus Entotheonellia, Candidatus Entotheonellales, Candidatus Entotheonellaceae. The record is from Rfam.